This 410-nucleotide ribosomal RNA is filed under the name uncultured Methylomirabilota bacterium. RNAcentral's name for it is "bacterial SSU rRNA". It matches the Rfam family "Bacterial small subunit ribosomal RNA", at positions 1025 to 1434 of the family's 1533-position model. The record is from RNAcentral. Lineage: Bacteria; Methylomirabilota (SeqCode).
AGCGUGGAGACAGGUGGUGCAUGGCUGUCGUCAGCUCGUGUCGUGAGAUGUUGGGUUAAGUCCCGCAACGAGCGCAACCCUCACCCUUUGUUGCCAUCAGGUUAUGCUGGGCACUCUAAGGGAACUGCCUCGGUUAACGAGGAGGAAGGCGGGGAUGACGUCAAGUCAUCAUGCCCCUUACGCCCUGGGCUACACACGUGCUACAAUGGCCGGUACAAAGGGAUGCCACACCGCGAGGUAGAGCUAAACCCAAAAAGCCGGUCUAAGUUCAGAUUGGAGUCUGCAACUCGACUCCAUGAAGGAGGAAUCGCUGGUAAUCGCGUAUCAGCACGACGCGGUGAAUACGUUCCUGGGCCUUGUACACACCGCCCGUCACACCACGAAAGCCAGCUGUACUCGAAGUCGCUGAG